GUUACGGUNCUGGCGGAGUUGGCAUCCCUCUGUACAGUAAGUGAACGGGCAAAGGUCCAGCGGCGCAUGGCUUUCAUGACCCCCUCAGAGCACCCUUCCCCCAGCUUACUCAGGCCCCCUCGGUGGCAGACUCUGCCCCAUUCAGGGGGAAGCGGUGUGGGUAGGGGCAAACGGAAGCUCCUCCGCUGCCCCCAACUCAGCGCCCUCCACGGCUCCAAGACCUGGAGAUAAUUCCAAACACUUUAUGCUACCGGCUGNGCCGGGGCGGCAUUCCCCCCCGCUUAAGAAACAGUCACCUGUGAGGGUGGGCAGCUGAGCACGUGAACUCAGUCCACCAAGGGGAAGUGAGGGGGCUUUGAGCUCACACCAGCUGCAAAGGUCCCUUUUGCCCGUCCUGCAAGGACCACCAGGUGUGAAGAGACCUUGCAACUUGCCUGCCAUCUUGUAUGAGCUUUAACCUUCCCUCUUCCUCUCUCGCCUGUCCUUCCUCCCUAUAGUGAACGGCCCUGGCUUUGGAUUGUCUCCCAUUUACCCAGGUAUGUUGAGACCUUGUCUGGGGAAUGACUGGGGCACAGAGGGGAAAAAGAAGGGAGUGGAGAACAAAGAGAUGUCCAUGAGCCUGGCAGGGCCUUCACUGAGUGGCCCCAUCAUCUACAUUUCCAUUUGUAGCCUGCUGCUGCAUGGCACAGGCAUCCAUGUUGUAGGAACAAUGGCCAAAUAAUCCCCUUUGCUUUGGGGCAGGAUCUCAUAUGGACUGCCUGGCAAGGUUGGCUCCAGGGCAGAGGGUAACAAAGUCUUUUCUCUGGUUUGCUUUUGGCUUGCAGGUGGUGUCCCCGGGCAGCCAGCCUAUGGCGGGAAACCUCCCAANCCCUAUGGCAUCUUGGGCUACAGAGGGGUGGGCCGCAAGAAGAAGUAGCCCCGACAGAUGGCACAGCGAUCACCUCAUGAACUUUGGUGCUACUGCGUGGUCUCGAAUGUACCCCUGCUUCGCCCCGCCCUGGGAAGAGCAGACGCCACCAGCUUCACGACCGCCCUGUGUCUUGCCCCACGCACCCCCUCCCCCCCGCCCCCCCUCUUCUGGUGCUACAGCCGUCCUUCCUUCGGGAUCACACCCAGCCACCCCCCUACCCCCUGGGGGCUUUGGUGCUGCAGCCGAGGGGGGCUGCUUCUGAGAGGGGGCUGCCAAGCACUUUAACCAGGCCUGUGUCCCGUGCCCACCCACGCGGAUCGGCUGCCAAGGCCAGUUUGCCCCGCUCGCUUCCCGGCCUAACUACGCAGCCCCCCCCGCCCCCCCCGGGGCCUCCUAAGCGCCGUGCCGGAGCCGCCGUCUCCUCCCUCCACACACACCCCGCCAGGACCAGGGGGAUUAACCUGGAUUCCGCAGCUGCCGGGUCCUAAACCGGAUUAGCCAGCCAGGCUGCACUCGGCAUCCCCGAUCCGGACCCCGGCGGCGCCUCCUCGCUCCGAACCGCACAGAGAGGUUGUCCAGGAAGGUCCGGCCCGAACCCGCGCCACGUUUCCGAUGUUUAAUCACUUCCGUGUAACUGGGAUGGGACACUUUUUAUAAAGAAGAAAACAGUAACUGCUUUCCAAAAAUAAGAUAAAAUUAAACAUGACUAAUAAAUAACUUUUUAAAGGAGAAANCUCUCUCUCU
RNAcentral lists this long non-coding RNA (1654 nucleotides) under Salvator merianae (Argentine black and white tegu). RNAcentral describes it as "lncRNA (ENSSMRG00000008765.1)". Lineage: Eukaryota; Metazoa; Chordata; Lepidosauria; Squamata; Teiidae. The record is from RNAcentral.